RNAcentral lists this unclassified non-coding RNA (390 nucleotides) under soil metagenome. RNAcentral's name for it is "partial contains 5.8S ribosomal RNA, internal transcribed spacer 2, and large subunit ribosomal RNA". The stretch from base 1 to 122 matches the Rfam family "5.8S ribosomal RNA", at positions 35 to 154 of the family's 154-position model. The record is from RNAcentral.
GAUGAAGAACGCAGCGAAAUGCGAUACUUGGUGUGAAUUGCAGAAUCCCGUGAACCAUCGAGUCUUUGAACGCAAGUUGCGCCCGAAGCCACUAGGCCGAGGGCACGCCUGCCUGGGCGUCACACGCCGUUGCCCCCCCAUCUACUCCUUCGGGAUUGCGGGGGGGCGGAUGAUGGCCUCCCGUGCGCCUAGCCGCGCGGUUGGCAUAAAUACCAAGUCCUCGGCGACGCACGCCACGACAAUCGGUGGUUGCGAAACCUCGGUUGCCCGUCGUGUGCGUUCGUCGCGCAUCGAGGGCUCGAAAAAAUGCUCGGCUCCGGCUGGGCUUUCAACGCGACCCCAGGUCAGGCGGGGUUACCCGCUGAAUUUAAGCAUAUCAAUAGCGGAGGA